GACGAACGCUGGCGGCGUGCCUAAUACAUGCAAGUAGAACGCUGAAGAGAGGAGCUUGCUCUUCUUGGAAGAGUUGCGAACGGGUGAGUAACGCGUAGGUAACCUGCCUUGUAGCGGGGGAUAACUAUUGGAAACGAUAGCUAAUACCGCAUAACAAUGGGUGACCCAUGUCAUUCAUUUGAAAGGGGCAACUGCUCCACUACAAGAUGGACCUGCGUUGUAUUAGCUAGUAGGUGAGGUAACGGCUCACCUAGGCGACGAUACAUAGCCGACCUGAGAGGGUGAUCGGCCACACUGGGACUGAGACACGGCCCAGACUCCUACGGGAGGCAGCAGUAGGGAAUCUUCGGCAAUGGGGGCAACCCUGACCGAGCAACGCCGCGUGAGUGAAGAAGGUUUUCGGAUCGUAAAGCUCUGUUGUAAGUCAAGAACGAGUGUGAGAGUGGAAAGUUCACACUGUGACGGUAGCUUACCAGAAAGGGACGGCUAACUACGUGCCAGCAGCCGCGGUAAUACGUAGGUCCCGAGCGUUGUCCGGAUUUAUUGGGCGUAAAGCGAGCGCAGGCGGUUUGAUAAGUCUGAGGUUAAAGGCUGUGGCUCAACCAUAGUUCGCUUUGGAAACUGUCAAACUUGAGUGCAGAAGGGGAGAGUGGAAUUCCAUGUGUAGCGGUGAAAUGCGUAGAUAUAUGGAGGAACACCGGUGGCGAAAGCGGCUCUCUGGUCUGUAACUGACGCUGAGGCUCGAAAGCGUGGGGAGCGAACAGG
Molecule: ribosomal RNA, 765 nt
Filed under: uncultured Streptococcus sp.
Lineage: Bacteria; Bacillati; Bacillota; Bacilli; Lactobacillales; Streptococcaceae
Description: bacterial SSU rRNA
Rfam family: Bacterial small subunit ribosomal RNA
Source: RNAcentral